Molecule: ribosomal RNA, 253 nt
Filed under: uncultured bacterium
Lineage: Bacteria
Description: partial 16S ribosomal RNA
Rfam family: Bacterial small subunit ribosomal RNA
Source: RNAcentral
UACGAAGGGAGCUAGCGUUGUUCGGAAUCACUGGGCGUAAAGCGCACGUAGGCGGAUUUGUCAGUCAGGGGUGAAAUCCCGGGGCUCAACCUCGGAACUGCCUUUGAUACAGCAAGUCUUGAGUUCGAGAGAGGUGGGUGGAAUUCCUAGUGUAGAGGUGAAAUUCGUAGAUAUUAGGAAGAACACCAGUGGCGAAGGCGGCUCACUGGCCCGGUACUGACGCUGAGGCGCGAAAGCGUGGGGAGCAAACAGG